This 107-nucleotide small RNA is filed under the name Marmota monax (woodchuck). The record is from RNAcentral. Lineage: Eukaryota; Metazoa; Chordata; Mammalia; Rodentia; Sciuridae.
GCUGGGUGUGCUGGUGCAUGCUUGCAAUCCCAACAACUCUGGAGGCUGAGGCAGGAGGAUCGCAAGUCCAAGGCUAUCCCAAGUAACUUAGCUAGACCCUGUCUCAA